ACGGCUCAGUAACACGUCAAUAACCUGCCCUUAAGUAAAGCAUAACUUCGGGAAACUGAGGAUAAUUCUUUAUAGAUAAUAAAUACUGGAAUGUUUUAUUGUCUAAAGCUUCGGUGCUUAAGGAUGGGUUGGCGGCUGAUUAGGUAGUUGGCGGGAUAAAGGCCCACCAAGCCAAAAAUCAGUAGGGGCCUUGAGAGAGGUAGCCCCGAGAAGGACACUGAGACACGGGUCCUAGCCCUACGGGGUGCAGCAGGCGCGUAACCUUUACAAUGCACGAAAGUGUGAUAAGGGAACCCCAAGUGCUUACACAUUGUGUAGGCUUUUGCCAAGAGUAGGUAUCUUGGCGAAUAAGUGGUGGGUAAGAAGGGUGCCAGCCGCCGCGGUAAUACCCACGCCACAAGUGGCAGUCGCUAUUAUUGGGCCUAAAGCGUUCGUAGCAGGUUUUGUAAAUCUCUUGUGAAAUUGUUGUGCUUAACAUAACGAAUUGCGAGGGACACUGCAAAACUAGAGACCGGGAA
Molecule: ribosomal RNA, 518 nt
Filed under: uncultured archaeon
Lineage: Archaea
Description: bacterial SSU rRNA
Rfam family: Archaeal small subunit ribosomal RNA
Source: RNAcentral